CGGACGGGUGAGUAAUGUCUGGGAAACUGCCUGAUGGAGGGGGAUAACUACUGGAAACGGUAGCUAAUACCGCAUAACGUCGCAAGACCAAAGAGGGGGACCUUCGGGCCUCUUGCCAUCGGAUGUGCCCAGAUGGGAUUAGCUAGUAGGUGGGGUAACGGCUCACCUAGGCGACGAUCCCUAGCUGGUCUGAGAGGAUGACCAGCGACACUGGAACUGAGACACGGUCCAG
RNAcentral lists this ribosomal RNA (232 nucleotides) under uncultured bacterium. RNAcentral's name for it is "partial 16S ribosomal RNA". It matches the Rfam family "Bacterial small subunit ribosomal RNA", at positions 99 to 334 of the family's 1533-position model. The record is from RNAcentral.